CUAAGGAAGAUCAAGUUGUUUGACGCUUUCAGCGACACAACACGAUUACGGAAGCACGUUUGGGCUCUUUAUUUAGUUUUGAGAGGUCUUUGUAGGGCCUUAGCUCAGCUAAGCGACAACGAAUGUUGGAGCUUUGUCGAAACUAGCGGAGCUAGAGUACGACAGGGAACAGCGAAAGACAACAAAGACAUACUAAACAAAGCACUAAUAAUGUAUUAACCCGUUUAUUAGUCGGGGCCUUAGCUCAGCUGGGAGAGCGCCUGCUUUGCACGCAGGAGGUCAGCGGUUCGAUCCCGCUAGGCUCCAUUAUCUAGGCUAGAAAGAGAUGAUCGGUUUACCGAAGCAAUUAAUCUCGUGUUCGACUAGAUAACUGAUAUUUGAAUACGAACCUAAACUUACUAGAAAUAAGUCAAAACCAUCUCGUGUCAAAAGGCACGUCACUAGUUUAUUCCUUAUUUUACGCAAGUUUUACGACAAGUCGUAACGGUUCUUAAUAUCAUGAUAGUCCAUUGAAAAUUGAAUAUCUAUAUCAAAUUCCACAAUCAAUAAAAAAAAUGAUUGUAAGAAUAGUAACAAGAAAAUAAACCGAAAACGCUGUAAGUAUUUAAUGAGUUUAGAUCGCAAGAUCAAAAAUAA
This 636-nucleotide transfer RNA is filed under the name uncultured bacterium. RNAcentral describes it as "16S-23S ribosomal RNA intergenic spacer". The stretch from base 234 to 306 matches the Rfam family "tRNA". The record is from RNAcentral.